UCAUAUGAGUCAUUAAACAACUGUGGAGUAACAAAACAGGCAUUAAUAAAGUUAUUUAUAGUGUAGACUGACAUGCAUUGCUCAUAAGAUGAUACUGGACUUUAUUUCAAUUUCAUUUAAAAACACAUUCCAGUACAACGUUCACUCAAUCAUGUGUGGUAGAAAAAUCUCCACUACAUUUUGCGCCUGCCUCCUAAUCUACAUAUAUUGUAAUAGAAACUCGAGCUUCAACCCUAAACCACUGUUCAGUAUCAACUGUUUCGGCUUCUGACCAGCAUCCUCGAUCGUUCCAAUCAUAAUAAUUGGCAAAGGUCCUGAACAGAAACUUCCACUGUAUCACAGAGUGUUUUGUUUUUAAUCUUCAUGACUGCCUGCCCGCAUUACCUCCCUUCAGCAGUUCUGCUAGAUGUGGAACAGGUCAAGGGCGCUGCACCGACUGGCUCCGAUUAUGUGUUAUCAUGUGUAGGGGAAGCUGAUGGUGCCAAAGGGCCCAGGAAUUCAAGCGUACGCUCAGGGAAUUUUUUUGAAGGUCACGUUUUGUUUGUGUGUGUGUGUAUGUGUGAGGAAAGUGUCCUGUUGAAUAUGCGAUAUUGAAAAAAAAAACACUUUAGGUUUAGAAAUCCAUUUUGAUAUUCACAAGUCAGAGUACACUUAUACUAUAUAGUAUACCUUUAAACUAGGAAGGUUAAAUCGGGAAAGAAAAUAAGAAGAGGAAGAAUGUUUCUGGUUUGGUCGGUGGAUGGAUAUUUGGUUCCUGUGUAUGAUUUUUAAAGACCCUUGUUGAACAAGCAUCAAUUUCACUGUCAGGAUUAACACUAAACGUGUCUAAACGUAUAUAUCCCACAUAUGCAACCCACGUACGCGUGGAAUAAGAAGUCACUGCGUCGUCUUUGAUUAGCAGACACGCAUGCUAAUUAGUGCCAGAGUUAGCACCCUGCAUCUGCCCAGUUCCGUAUCUCUAUAUCGGGACGAGUGCGGCUAAUCAAAGUGACACGGCAAACAUGGUACGAUUACCGAGUUGUCACGAACGUUCAGUUUCCCCUUCAUCUCGACAGCUUGCUUUGCUAAGUGCCGAGCUAACUCUAAGGAUAUCUGUCAACUCUGUGGAUUCACGUAAUAAAAGAUGUGAAAGCUUCUAAGCUGCAGUCAUUAGACCAUGACCUAGGUCAUGGUACAUCGGUGCCUUGGUGUGUAUCUCUGGAAGCCAUGUUAACUGCUCCCUGAAGAACAUGUGUUUCAAAGCCAGAAGCAGAACAGGGACGAAAGUGAGCCCCAUUUGCUCCACUCGGUCUGCAGACUUCAAAGCUGUCCUUCAUCUUCAAUUAAUUGAAUUGCACUCUUGUUCUCCGCCCCAUAAGGCCCGGGAAAAAGGGAAAUUAUAAAACACGGUGAAAGUAAAAUGUGAGAGACGAUGAUGAUGGAGAUGAAAAUGAAUGAAGAGGCUCCGAGAGAUUCACGUGCAUACCAAUUUGCAUUUAUGUUUUCAAGAAAAAAAAGCCCAAUUAUCAGAGACACUUAUAUAUAAAAUAAGUGUCUCUACAGUUUACACAGAAUGGCGCAAAGAAACUGGACUUAAAUAAUCACUCUUUACAACCAUGGUAAGCAGAAAAGCAACUCAAGCCACUUUGAACCUUGAAGCAGAUGAGCUACAGAAGCAGAGGAACCACUCAGAGUCCGAUCGUGUCAGCAUGAAAACAGGAAUCUGACACUACAGUGGGCUCUGCUGGCAUAUGAUUGGCCAAAUGAAGAUGUACAUAAAGUGGACAGUGAGUGUACAUGACGUAUAGUUGGUUAAAGUCAUGCACUAUAGUAGGAAUCACUGUGCAAGUUGAGUACUAAAUAAAACGAGCGACACCGUGUGCAUUUCCAUCAAAGAUAAAAAGCGACAGUCAUCCAUCUUGAUCACGAGCAGGUAAACAUUGACGGCUGGGAGAUUUCUCCCUCAGGACGAAGCCUCUAAUCAGGCUCAGAUCUCAGAUAUGAAAGCCAGCCUGAAGUCUGCCCUCAAAUGCCACUCCGAGGUGCCAAGUGCUGGCUCUGAAAGCUUUCCCUGGCUGUGGAUAAAUGAUGGGGGCAACUGGGAUGUUGGGGUGGGUGGGGCAUGUGGUGGUGUGUGUGGGGUGACUUUCCAGCAGAAUCUUUUACAUUUGAAUCAUUAAUGUUUCAUCAAAGUGUGUGGGAAACAAGAACGGGAGAAAUCAGGCUAUGGAGCGUUCCUGCAAAACCCACCAUUUUUAAAACAGCUUGAUGUCGAGAUUUCAGAAACGAUGAGGCCGUGGUUACUCCUUUCAUCAGGCCAGAAGGAGAAGCAGAGGAAUUAUUAAACCAGCAUGCUUGAAAUAAAAAUAGGCAGUUUUAGUAUCUUUUCUCUGAUCUUACUCAGUAGCAGUCUGUAGAAAAGACAGAUAAUAUUUUUUAUCCAGCCUGGAAUUAAUGACACCUUAAGUUUAAACCAUGCCAAUUCUCACAUGAAACACAGAACAAUAGGCAAGCCUGUGUCCAAACGACAUGGCAUGGAGCAUCAAAAAAAUCAAGCAGUGACUAAAAAACUGCAGUGUGAUAAUGGAAAUGUAUUAGCAGCAUGUUUUUUGUAACUGGAAACACAAAAGGGAGGCAUGGAUUACGGCGAAUAGACGACAUGCAUCAUGUUUUGGAAGCAAACAAACUAAAAAAAACUGACUAAGAAGCAAUAAACAGCAUGACAGGAGAAAUUUAUGGGCGACCAAGAAAUCAUAAAAGGGGAAAAGCGUCUGCCUUUGACCAGGGACUAACUCUUCCCGAGCUCAUUAGGGCUUCGCCUUAAAUCUGAGCUCAGCGCACACAACAAAUGCACCAGCUCAUUUCCGGACAUGAGAGAAUUCUCUCCUGAUGGAUGCUGACUGCACUUUGAGCAGGCGACAGAAAUGAGAAAUGAGUAGCGUUCAUUCAGAAUUCAUGUCAAAGUCUAUUUCCCUGCAUCCUACCGACUCGCCUCUCACUGAUCAUGCUUACUUCAAAACAAAUGAUGCCCGAAGAAAGGGAGCAGUUCUGCACAUGGGGUGGAGGGGGCAGGAUUUGUUCCCUUAAGCAAAUCGGAGACAGGAUAAGUCUUAAA
This is a long non-coding RNA of Hemibagrus wyckioides, 3094 nucleotides long. RefSeq lists it as uncharacterized. The record is from RefSeq and is a predicted model, not a curated record. NCBI's taxonomy places the organism in Eukaryota, Metazoa, Chordata, Actinopteri, Siluriformes, Bagridae. The transcript has 3 exons.